GACAGAGGGUGCAAACGUUGUUCGGAAUUACUGGGCAUAAAGAGCACGUAGGUGGUUCGCUAAGUCACGUGUGAAAUCCCCCGGCUUAACCGGGGAAUUGCGCGUGAUACUGGCGAACUCGAGGCGGGUAGGGGUGAGCGGAACUCCAGGUGGAGCGGUGAAAUGCGUAGAUAUCUGGAGGAACACCGGUGGCGAAGGCGGCCUGCUGGGCAGUUACUGACACUGAGGCGCGACAGCGUGGGGAGCAAACAGG
This 253-nucleotide ribosomal RNA is filed under the name uncultured bacterium. RNAcentral describes it as "partial 16S ribosomal RNA". It matches the Rfam family "Bacterial small subunit ribosomal RNA", at positions 524 to 776 of the family's 1533-position model. The record is from RNAcentral.